Molecule: ribosomal RNA, 368 nt
Filed under: uncultured eukaryote
Lineage: Eukaryota
Description: partial 18S ribosomal RNA
Rfam family: Eukaryotic small subunit ribosomal RNA
Source: RNAcentral
CAAUAGCGUAUAUUAAAGUUGUUGCAGUUAAAAAGCUCGUAGUUGGACCUUGGACCUGGACAGGCGGUCCGCCUCACGGCGAGUACUGUCUUGCUGGUCUUUCCUCUUGGUGAUCUGUUGUUUCGGCAGCAGGGAACCAGGACCUUUACUUUGAAAAAAUUAGAGUGUUCAAAGCAGGCUCGACGCCGGAAUAUAUUAGCAUGGAAUAAUAAAAUAGGACGUGCGGUUCUAUUUUGUUGGUUUUUGGAAUCGCCGUAAUGAUUAAUAGGGACAGUCGGGGGCAUUAGUACUCACAUGCUAGAGGUGAAAUUCUUGGAUUUUGUGAAGACUAACUUCUGCGAAAGCAUUUGCCAAGGAUGUUUUCAUUA